AUGUUUGAAAUCAACCUACUGAUUUUUAAACGCCCUUUCCCCUGAGUGAAGUACAAAAUUGCUGUGUGUAGUCUUUGCCCAUCCUCUGUGAUGGGCUUUUUUUUGC
This 106-nucleotide non-coding RNA is filed under the name Erwinia sp. JUb26. Its description in RNAcentral is "antisense sRNA RprA". It matches the Rfam family "RprA RNA". Rfam says of the family: Translational regulation of the stationary phase sigma factor RpoS is mediated by the formation of a double-stranded RNA stem-loop structure in the upstream region of the rpoS messenger RNA, occluding the translation initiation site. Clones carrying rprA (RpoS regulator RNA A) increased the translation of RpoS. The record is from RNAcentral. Lineage: Bacteria; Pseudomonadati; Pseudomonadota; Gammaproteobacteria; Enterobacterales; Erwiniaceae.